GGACUGUGGCUCAGUGGUAGUGCAUUUGCCUAGCAUGUAUGAGACACUGGGUUCAAUUCUCAGCACCA
RNAcentral lists this transfer RNA (68 nucleotides) under Marmota monax (woodchuck). RNAcentral's name for it is "tRNA.Ala". The record is from RNAcentral. Lineage: Eukaryota; Metazoa; Chordata; Mammalia; Rodentia; Sciuridae.